RNAcentral lists this unclassified non-coding RNA (251 nucleotides) under Hevea brasiliensis (rubber tree). The record is from RNAcentral. Lineage: Eukaryota; Viridiplantae; Streptophyta; Magnoliopsida; Malpighiales; Euphorbiaceae.
AAAAAAAGAAAAGAAGAAGGAAAAAGGAUCAUGCCAAAUUAGCUUGAUUAUCGUAUUUAAGCUCAAUUUCUGCAGUACUUUCUUCAUCGUAUUUAUCUGGUUACUUUGACAACUUUUAGGAAUGUUAUAUUUUUACCUCUCAUUUAUUGGCUACUUAUUUCUUUCAAAUCUCAAUUCAAUUUAAAUUAGAGGUUAAGUUUCAAAGUGAAGUCUAUAUAUGAGCAAUUCCAUAACUCACAACAUAAGGUUUG